UGAUUUUCAUUCGAAAAUUUUGGUUAUCAGACAAUGUUUUGACAACAGGUUUUUGGUUGGGUGCUAGCGGCAGGCUGACAGGCGGUCAGGCCCAGCUGCCGAAGCGAAAAGGUUUUUUGGUUCACAAAGGGUUGACCAGUCAGCGGCCCAGGGGGCCACCGAGCAGGCAGUAAGAAACGAUUUCUCGCUCUUUUGGUAAUGAUCCUUCCGUAGGUUAACCUACGGAACUGUAGAUCUAUUACUCUAAUAAAUCUGGCUAUGGUUGUAGCUGGCUCUUAGGGGCAUGUGCACACCUGUCACCUUUAUUCUUUCCACCUGUGAACCCUUUGUAGUCCCAGGAUAACCUCUCGCACACUUUGGUGUUGCGGAUGCGAAGGUUGUUGUGCCUCUGGCCAGCUUCCAUCGAAUUUCCUGGGUCUAUGUUUCUUACACGCCCCUGUAUGUUAAAAAGAAUGUUGAUUUCAAAGGCUUUGGCCUAUAGAAACUCAAUACAACUUUCAGCAACGGAUCUCUUGGCUCUCGCAUCGAUGAAGAACGCAGCGAAAUGCGAUAAGUAAUGUGAAUUGCAGAAUUCAGUGAAUCAUCGAAUCUUGAACGCACCUUGCGCUCCUUGGUAUUCCGAGGAGCAUGCCUGUUUGAGUGUCAUUAAACUCUCAACCUCACCUGGUUUUCUAACCUGUGUGCUGGCUUGGACUUGGGAGUUGUGCAGGCUGCAGUUUACUGUGGUUCUGCUCUCCUUAAAUGUAUUAGCAGGUCUUUACCUCUAUCCCAAUAGUGUGAUAAUCUAUCUACGCUGCCGGUUUGAAGGGUCUCCAAACCGGCAGCGUAGAUAGAUUAUCACACUAUUGGGAUAGAGGUAAAAGACCUGCUAAUACAUUUAAGGAGAGCAGAACCACAGUAAACUGCAGCCUGCACAACUCCCAAGUCCAAGCCAGCACACAGGUUAGAAAACGCAGGUGAGGUUGAGAGUUUAAUGACACUCAAACAGGCAUGCUCCUCGGAAUACCAAGGAGCGCAAGGUGCGUUCAAAGAUUCGAUGAUUCACUGAAUUCUGCAAUUCACAUUACUUAUCGCAUUUCGCUGCGUUCUUCAUCGAUGCGAGAGCCAAUAGAUCCGUUGCUGAAAGUUGUAUUGAGUUUCUAUAGGCCAAAGCCUUUGAAAUCAACAUUCUUUUUAACAUACAGGGGCGUGUAAGAACAUAGACCCAGGAAAUUCGAUGGAAGCUGGCCAGAGGCACAACAACCUUCGCAUCCGCAACACCAAGUGUGCGAGAGGUUAUCCUGGGACUACAAAGGGGUUCACAGGUGGAAAGAUAAAGGUGACAGGUGUGCACAUGCCCCUAAGAGCCAGCUACAACCAUGCCAGAUUUAUUCGA
Molecule: unclassified non-coding RNA, 1375 nt
Filed under: soil metagenome
Description: partial contains internal transcribed spacer 1, 5.8S ribosomal RNA, and internal transcribed spacer 2
Rfam family: 5.8S ribosomal RNA (bases 493-645)
Source: RNAcentral